GGAAUCUUCCACAAUGGACGCAAGUCUGAUGGAGCAACGCCGCGUGAGUGAAGAAGGGUCUCGGCUCGUAAAGCUCUGUUGUUAAAGAAGAACGUGGGUAAGAGUAACUGUUUACCCAGUGACGGUAUUUAACCAGAAAGCCACGGCUAACUACGUGCCAG
Molecule: ribosomal RNA, 161 nt
Filed under: uncultured bacterium
Lineage: Bacteria
Description: partial 16S ribosomal RNA
Rfam family: Bacterial small subunit ribosomal RNA
Source: RNAcentral